This 27-nucleotide non-coding RNA is filed under the name Mus musculus (house mouse). The record is from RNAcentral. Lineage: Eukaryota; Metazoa; Chordata; Mammalia; Rodentia; Muridae.
UAGGCAAACAUCCAAUGCAGGUCAGGA